UUUGUCGUCAAUGGUGGAAUUUAAUCCCAAUUUCAGAAGAGGAGAGAUUCCUGCCACGACCAAGAUUGUCCUUUUCAAAUGGAUUUCAGGCCGCAGACACCAAGUCUUUUAACCCCACCCCUCUCCAUAAUUCAUGAGAUGCUUGACCAAGAGAAACCAUUGGCUUGUUUUUUCUGGAAAUGAUGAACUUUUCAGGAGUCCAGACUUU
Molecule: long non-coding RNA, 208 nt
Filed under: Populus trichocarpa (black cottonwood)
Lineage: Eukaryota; Viridiplantae; Streptophyta; Magnoliopsida; Malpighiales; Salicaceae
Description: long non-coding RNA (PTRI_LNC002856)
Source: RNAcentral